ACACUCUUACCUAUGACACCCGAUAAACCCUUUUCAUUCAAUCACAUUAGUUCAUACAUAUUAUUUCUUUCAUUUAUUAUUUAACCCCAAAUGACACAUAUACCCAUAUCCCCAGUAAAACAAGAGUACGAAAUUUAUAUUUCAAAAUAUGUGAAUGAAAUAAAUAUACAUUAUGCUGACUGAAAUGUAUUAUGCACAAAAUAGAACAACGAGAAAUAUAAAUUAAGACAAAUAAAUUAAAGUAGGUUAAAAUAAAACAAAGUAAAUAAAUAAGUACAAUAAAGUAACCAAAUAAAUAGUUAGCACAAUUAAGCAAGUAUAAACUGACCGAUUACUUGCUUCAUCAAAAACAUGUACUUAAUUAAUCAAGAAACUGUCAGUUAUCCAAAAUUUUUGUUUAUUAUUAAUUUAGUUUUAAUUUCACUGUAAUAGAAAAAAUGGAUGGGAGAUUCUUACACUGGGUCAAUGUUCAAAACAUCGCUUUUUCACUACGAUUCUCGACGAUUUUUGGAUCUCGAAUUUUCUUGGAUUUUUCUGAUAAGAUUAAAACAUACGUUAAAAUGAUGUGAAAUUACGUAAGAAACGGUAAAAAAUGGCAAAAAUCUCACCGGAGGUCGGGUUGGGGUUCCAGCGCAGUGGCGCUGCCGUGCUCUGCCACCUGGUCCUCUUCUCCAGUGGCUCAUCCUUUCGGUCAAACUGGUUUUGGCCGGUCCUUGGUGAAAAUUUAUUUAAAUCGUGGUUAGAAGGUGUUUUGCGGCGAAAGAAAGGGAAAAACAAAGGCUUACUGACGGUUUUGGUCAUCCGGUACUGCGAUUCAACCGAGCUCUGUCGUUCCUUCCUCGCAGUGUGCGGCUUCUCUCGGUUACCCUGCAUCGAAAACACGUUAGAUGACUAAGGGCAGAGAAACAGGAAGAACGAGAAGAAUUUCUAGCUUACCAGAGUGUUUUCGGCGUUCUGGCAUGGUGGCGCCGACAUUCCUUCUCCGACUGGGUCUCCUUCCGACCACCCUUCUUCUUCUUCUGUGACAAGGCAUGUCGGCUAAGGUUUGGGGUUUGACUGAAUGAGAUUCUUAAAUAUUCUCAUCCCUUUGAUCUGGAUUGUCCAUCUAGGCCUACGUGGAUCAACCUCAGUCGCCCGACCUUGUUUAUUUGGAAAACAAAUCUAGACCGUUCGGUUGAAGACACGUGAACCGUUUGAUCAGAGUUAUCCAAAAAAUUGAUCUCGGUCGUUCGUGCAUGUAGGAGUGGCCCUGAGUCGUUCGAUUGGCCUGACAUGCGAAUUGUCUGCAUGGCUUCCUGCAUGGAACCUGUGUCGACAUGUCUACCAUGCAGCGUGCAGCAAUUCAUCGUGCUGCUGACUGGGCGUACACAUGACCCAUAUUUUUUUUUUUACUAUUUGACUCCUUUUUCUAAAUAUUUUUUUAAAACAUAUUCUCGUUUAUUUAUAAUUUGAUCUUAUCUUUUAAAAAUUAUUUAAAAAAAGUUUAAAAUUGACAUUUAAAAAAAAUAAACAUAAUUAAAAUAAUAUUAAAAUUCACGUUUCUGAGCCUAAUUCUUAGAUUCGGAGUGUUACAUAUUUUGACAUAAUUUUAAUUAAAUUAAUAAAAAUAAACAUAUAAGAACAAACUUAUACUUAUCUUUUUGCUGAGCACUAAGCAAUAACGAUGAAUGAAACAAAAUUGAAGAAAAAAUAAAAAAUAAAAAAAAUGUUGAUUUUAAAUCAUUGUUGGAGACAAGUCAUGGGUGAAAUGAGGUGUAGGUGAAAAUUCCUUUAAUACACUGAAUUCACGUGAGAUUCAGACGUAUCUCCGUACUAUUUCCACUUGCCCAGAAAAAAUAAUUUGAUUAAUUCAAUAAUUAUACGUGAAAUUUAUGGUGAAUUUUUAAUUAUUAAGAAUUAAAACAACGGUCUCUCUAUUUUUAUUUACUAAUAAUUAUUAAAAUUAAAAGGGCAGUAUCUUAUCUAAUGACUUUAAAAUAUAGUUAUUGAAAUCAGACUUAAUUUGAUAGUUUUGACUUUUUAAAUUUUUUAUCUAUAUUUUGAGCUAACAAUUUAAUUGAUAAGUUAUUAAUUAAAUUAAUAAAUUAAAUAAUCAACGUGCAAACCAGUUCAACAUAUAACUCAUUAAAAUAUAAAAAUUAUGAUUUUUUUUUUUUUAAUUUAAAAAAAAACCUUCAGUGGUAUAUGUCAUUGGAUCCUUCAUUUUUAAUUCUCUACCCACUAAAUUAAACUACUGUUUUCCAACUGCAUAAUUUUUAUUUUACUUUUUCAGAUUAUUGUUUGUUGCAUGUGUUUGUUUUCUCCAUAAUAUAUAUAUGUGUGUGUAUAUUAUUCUGGUUAUUGCUUGUUCAAACCAUUUAUUUAAAUUAUCUGAUUGCAUCAGGUGACUUUUACGGCCAAUACAGAUUUUUAAUUUAAUUGAAAACUAAACAUGAAUUGGUCAACUUAGGAAAAACAUAUCAAUUUAUUCUUAAACAUAAUCUAAAAUCUAAUAUUUCUACGAUCGUUGGGACUAGUCCGUAAAAAUACGUUGGGCCACCAAUGUCCCCAUAUUUGGGUCCAAAAAAUAAUCUAAUUAUCUUAUAAUAUAGUAAUAAUAAUUCCUGGGCUUGGGCUCAAAACAAUCCAUUCUUUGUAUUAGCAGUUCUCUUUUUUCCUUUCAAUUAAUUUCUAAAAAUCGAUUAAAAAAUAUUGGGUUUAAAUUUGAUUCGUACGUAAAUUCAAAAUAAUUAAAAUAAAAUAGUUUAAUCCAAUAAUAAGAGUUUUUUUUUAAAAAAAAAAAUAUAAGGAGGAAUUUUUAUGUAUUUAUGUAAAUAUUACUUUUUCACAAUAUUUAUAAUAUAAAACUCAGAGCUACCGCAUGAAGAAGACAUUAUUAAGUAAGAUACUAUUGUUUGUCCGCCGUUGGUUGACCAAGUUUCUUUCUUCUUGCUCAGCUACUCAACAACAUUGCACAAUUUAAACAAAAAAAAAAAAAAAAAGAAAACCUAAAAAAUUCAAAAAUUAUUUCAUACUUUAUUAUUAUAUUUUUAAUAAUAUUAUUAUUUCAGAAAAAUAAAGGAUAUUCAUUUAGAUUUGUACACAAAAUUAUCAUUUAAUAUAUGUACCAAAAAAUUAAUGAUACUCUCACCAAUAUACUACACCAGCUUACAAUAAAUUUUUAUUUAAUUUAAAAUAUAACUAAAAAUAAAAAAUCUAAAAUGAUAAAAGUAAUUUUUCUGGUCUUAAAAAAAUUUAUUACUUUCUUGUUUCUGAUAAUAAACAGAGAGAGAGAGAGAGAGAGAGAGAGAGGCAUCAUUAAAAACAAGUGGAAAAGAAUAGGCAAAGGGCGCAUUGAGGUGCGUGAUUGCUACUAAAUUCGUCAUCUUCUUCCUUCUUUCUUUCUAACACGCACCAGAUCAAAAUCAUCAGCCAAUAGAAAACAACAGCAAAAAAAAAAACGAAAAAGAAAUAAACAUAUUCCAGUUAACCCACCGCCACUAGACAAGAGAGAACCAGAAACAGAGCGCUCAGAGAUUAAGUCAUUUGCAACGGAGUAAAGGAGGCGGAGAAUAUGAGCAGUCAGGGUAAACUUGUCUCCUCAAGUUCUGAAUUGGAUUUGGAUCGUCCCAACAUCGAAGACUACCUCCCUUCCGGAUCCUCCAUCCAAGAGCCUCAUGGCAAGCUUCGCCUGUAAUCUUCACAACCUCUCUCUCUAGACAUAGCUGUAUCUAUAUAUAUGUAUAUGCAUGCAUGCUUCGAUAUGUAUAUGUCAUUUUGCAUUUGGAUUUCGUUUGCGCGAUAACUAGUUAGAGAUGAAAAACUGUCCUCUGGCGAGAUUCCGAUUUGCGCCUUCUUUUUUCUUUGGUUUUUCUCGAUAAGCUAAAAUGACUUCAGGCGAUUGAUUGAUUGAUUUUGACUGGUGAUGCUUGGCGAACUCUUUUUUAGGCGUGAUUUGCUUGACAUUUCGCCUACUCUGACUGAAGCUGCCGGUGCCAUUGUCGAUGUAAGCUCUCUCGCGAUUCUUAGUAAUUUUUGUAGUCAUGUUUGUUUUAUGGAGAAAUGAUUCCGGAAAAAUUUUCGGUCCAGGAGGGAGGGGAAUAAUUAGAUUGUGAGCUGUGUGAGUGCUUUUACUUCUUUUAUUGGAAGGUGAUUCCUUAAACAUGAUUUCUCUAUCUUCGGGUUAAUAUUUCAAAAAGAAUAGAUAUCUUCUGGUUAAGAGUGAAUUUCAUGCCAUCAAUUUGAGAAAAGUAGAGACUGAAAUCAAUUUUCUGUUUACAUGUAAAAAUCUUUAUUUAUAGAAACUUCUGAUUUUACCUGAAAUUGCCAGGACUCCUUCACGCGAUGUUUUAAGUCAAUUCCUCCAGAACCUUGGAACUGGAACAUAUAUUUGUUUCCUCUAUGGUGUUUUGGCGUGCUCAUUCGACAUUUUAUUCUUUUUCCUGUGAGGUAAGCUUUUUUUAUCUGCUCAGAUAGAGGGAGAGUGUUGAAUCAUGCUAUAUGCAGUCUUUCUUCUUUAAUCUCACUGCAGAAUUUAUUUCCCCCACUAAAUGAUCUCUAUCUCGAGCUUGAAUUGUAUAUCUUGGUAUUAUUUUUAAUGAAUCAUCUGAUUCUUUUGUAGCCAACUGGCUUUGUUAAGUAGCGCAUGUUAUGUUGUAUCCGCAACUAAUUACUGGAUAUCCAUAAAAUCUGCAGGUGUCUAGUGUUGGCAGUAGGAUGGUUUAUAUUUCUCUCAUCAUUCAUUCCAGUGCACUAUCUGCUGAGAAGCCAUGAUAAGUUGAGAAAAAAGAUAGAGGUCUGAGCUUUAUCUUAUGCAGAGUUCCCUGGAUUCAUACCAUUAGAAUACUGUUAUUCUCUUUCUUCUUGAAUCUUCAUUAUAUGUGGUAUUGUUCGUACUAAAUAAACUAUGCCAUUGAGUUCCCUGCCAUUUUUAUGCUUGGGGCUGGGACCAUUUCCAUAAAUUUUUUAGCCAUAAUCUUCUUAAUACAUCUGGUUAUGCAACUUUCAACAUGUAAUCUUUCUAUACUAAGAAACUAAGUAAGUGUCUAGAUACCCACAGAGAUGAGGGAAUAUAGAAAAAAGAGAGUAACUUGAAGUUUGCUUUAUGGAACCCUAGGUAUCUUUACUCUACCUUUUAGUGUAAGAAGCAGGAUGCUAUAAACCAACUCCUCUAGGACAUUUCAAUUUUUCAUGUUUGUCUAUGAUUAGAGGAGGAGACCAGCAGAUUAUGCUCUACAUGCUUUAUCAACCCUCUGGACUGUAAGAAAAGCAUGGCAGGAAGGAUGCGCUUUGUCCAUGAUUAGAGUUAUUACUAUUGCCCAGACUAAUUCCAUUUAAUCUUACUAUAUUUUCUAUAUCUCAAAAAACAAAAAUCUUACUAUAUUUUUUGUCAAAUUAUUUUUUCAGAUAAUUUUUUGCGUUAUUUGAUAUCUGGUGUUCCCUUUUUUGAAAUGCAAUCAACACAUUUCAGAUCCAAAUUUGACCCAAUACUUUGUCUUCCUAUGUCUUGUUCUCUCUAUCUGAGAAUUGGAUUUUAUUUCCUUUUCACUUUCAAACUCAAGAUUGCUUAUUUUCUCUUCAGAGGUGCUUGGUAGAGAUGAUGUGCAGUUUCUUUGUUGCAUCAUGGACUGGUGUUGUCAAAUACCAUGGUCCUAGGCCUAGCAUCCGGCCUAAGCAGGUUAUGCUCUUUAAAAUGUGUCCUGCAGAUACCUUAACUAGCCCCCAGGUGUUUUUUUUAAAAACAAUUUGUUGACAACCAAAAUCUCUUUUGAGUAUUAACCAAAAUCUCUUUUUGUUUUGUGUUGAACAGGUGUUUGUGGCCAACCAUACCUCAAUGAUAGAUUUUAUCGUCUUAGAACAGAUGACUGCAUUUGCUGUUAUCAUGCAGAAGCAUCCUGGAUGGGUUGGUAAGUAUUAACGUCACGUGCUUGUAGGACACAUGCUAAGAAUUUAAUGUUGCAGUAUGCACGUUAAGAGUCUCCAAUGCCUCUUGAGUUGGGAAAAUGUAGCUUAUGUGUUUUCAAUAGAUGAAGUUCCAUAUAUAUUUUUUCUCCUCUUUUCAAUUCCCACAUCAUCUGCCUUUGUUUUGACUCCUUUUUUUUUCGGAUUUUUUAGAAAUUCAAUAUUGAUAUGUACAAUUCUAGAUGGACAUUAAUCAUUUUUACUUUCAUUGUUAGGAAAUGUAUGUUCUUGUUGGAGUAUUCAUAUCUGGAGGUGGAAAAGUGGUUUCAGCAAAUUAUCACUCGUUUUGCAGUCUUCCUCGGUUUCAACUUAUUAUUGAGAUAUUUUUUGUUUGCAUUGGAAGCGAAGUCAUUUAUUGGAAAUAUCUAAUUUUAGAAGCCUGGAUUUUAUGCUUUCCUUUUUUCUGAUUUUGUUGCUUUCUGCUAAUGCAGAGCUGACUGAUCAUGAGCAUAAAAUGUGAAUUUGAAUAUACUGAAUGUUCUAUUUGAUUUGUUUUGGUUUUAUGUUUAGGACUACUGCAAAGCACUAUACUAGAGAGUGUAGGGUGUAUCUGGUUCAACCGUUCAGAGGCAAAGGAUCGUGAAAUUGUAGCCAAGAAGUAAGUAAAAUUGUCACGGGCAAGAACAUUUGCAUCCUGUUAUUUCCAAUGGUUAUGAUAAUUUGAUUUAAAUCUUUCAGGUUAAGGGAUCAUGUUCAGGGUGCUGACAACAACCCUCUUCUUAUAUUUCCUGAAGGGACUUGUGUGAACAACCACUACACUGUUAUGUUUAAGAAGGUACAAGAGCAAAUAUUUGGUGGAUUAUUGAAGUUUUCUUUAAACUUUAAUUUUUUUAUCUCCUUGAUGGUUCAGGGCGCUUUUGAACUUGGCUGCACUGUUUGCCCAAUUGCAAUCAAGUACAACAAAAUUUUUGUUGAUGCCUUUUGGAAUAGCCGGAAGUAAGUAUAACUCUUGAAAAAUUUUAAUUUCUGCAGAUAACUAUAACAGCAUGGAAUUUUGGCUUGUAGAAUCAAGUAGAGUUUAUUUUACUUCCUGUUAAGAUGCUUUCCUGUUUGUGAAGACUAUGAUUAUGCUGCUUAGCAGGCAUAGUUUUUUUUUUUUUCUUUUAAAUAUUUGAAUCACACAUGAUGUUUCACUAUGUUGUUUAGCUCGUAUUUCAUUUGUAGAUUCACAUCAUGAUGUUUCCCACAUUUUCUCUGCAGGCAGUCCUUCACAAUGCAUCUGCUGCAGCUAAUGACAUCCUGGGCUGUCGUAUGUGAUGUGUGGUACUUGGAGCCCCAAAAUCUGAAGCCUGGUGAGACAGCCAUUGAGUUUGCAGAGAGGUAAAAAUUCUUACUGAUUUGCAAUGAAACUGAGCAUAUUCAUUGAUAGAGAAAAUUUUGUCUCCAUUAGCUUGUUUCGGAUCUUGGAGUUUGAGACCUUUUAUGCAGGGUAAGGGACAUAAUAUCUGUUCGAGCAGGUCUGAAAAAGGUUCCGUGGGAUGGAUAUCUGAAGUAUUCACGUCCGAGUCCAAAACAUAGAGAACGCAAGUAAGCGAAUCAUUUCCCAGAUUCUUUCCAUCUUUUCUAAGCUUGAAGCUAUUUUACAUCUAUCAAUUGAUACUUGGUUUGAUCAUUUAUAUGUAGCUACAAGUUCUUACGCAUCUGCUUCUUGUUUAUCUAUAUUAUCCCUGAGGACAUUAAGGGAACAUUAAUAUGGUGUUUAUCUCAACUUUUGGUCAAAUGAGCUCUUGAAAGAUGGUAGAGGGUAGCUCUUAUUUUGGAGAGCUUGUAAGUUGUCUAAAGUAAGUUGGUGUGGACUACAAAAUGUCUUAAGUAGUUCUAAACCAAUUUCUUAGAAACUCAUGUUAUACAAACAUUUUAGAAGCUUAUUUAUGAAAUAAAUUCAUACAGCAAUAUUCUAUUGAAGAAUUUUGAGCUCCUUGUGUGUUUUAGAUUGGGCCAAACAUCAUCCAAAUAUAAAAACACCUUUGAAUAAUAUGGUUUUUCUCCCACCAGUUUUAUGGGCAUUCUUAGCAGUCAUAGGGAUUGGUUGCUGGGUUCUUUAGGUAACCUGUGAUAUCUCAUGUUGUUGAUAGCUUGUACACUUGCCACCUAUGACCAUUUAACAUCUAAUAUUUACAUAUAUUCAAAGAACAAUAAGGUACCAUGAACAUGGAGUACUGCAUUUGACUGAAGAAAAUUGUCAACAAUGAUUGUAUUGAUCUUGUGGAAAGGCUUUAAAUUAUUUUUAUUGUCUUCCGCUAUUUCCUUUUGGAUGUGAAAAACAAAAACUUACCUCAGUAACCUUGUUUCGUGGUAUUGGGUUUUGUCCAUAACUGGGGCAUUUGCUAAUAUAAUCAGCUUGAUUAAUAAAUAUACCUGAUGGCAUUUGAAGCACCCUUACAGCUUGAAGCUCACUGCUGAUUUUGCAUGUACAGGCAACAAAACUUUGCUGAGUCUAUCCUGCGCCGCCUGGAGGAGAAGUGACUGUACAUUGGUUUUCCAUUUCUUUAGUAGUAUUGAUCCAAACUACUGAGGCAUGUUACCAUGCCUAAUUCUAUCUUACAUUUAAAUGCAGACUUGACCAUGAAUAACACUUGAAGGAGAUGGGUUUGAGGAUUGAAAGGUUCACACCAAAUAGAAACUUGCUCGGAAUAGUUCUCCGGUACUAUCCUGACCUCUCAACUAGAGUGAAGUUGCUCAGGAAGGGCAAACUCUAAGUUGUUAGUAGUGUGUUGUUGAAUAUAUGUGCAUGAAAAAUUUUGGGAACACUGUCAAAUUUAAAUAUUCUUCCUGGUGAAACAUCCACCUCUAUUUAAUUAAUUUCCAAAAAAAUAGGAUGAAAUAUUGUUGAUGUAUAUUAUUAUUGGGGAAAGAAGGAAAAAAAGAGAAAGAGAAAAGACAGUCAUGGGGUGCAUGCAACAUUCAAGAGUCAGCUGAACGGGUUUUCUCAUAAAAAUGUUGCUUUGGCAUGCUUGGGUCUAUCAGGGUGUUCGCACUCUUGUUUUUAUCCACUACUCUUGUAGGAUUCUUCUAAAAUCCUUAUCAAAUUUAAACAAGAAGGGAGUAAGCUGUGGCCGCCGCUGAGCAAUUACCAACUAAACGUUCAGGAAGGAGGCUUGAGAAACGUUGGAUUGCAGCGCAGGUACAGCACGAAGUUAGCAAAGAACACAAGCCCAGUUCAUGCUUGAAAAUACAAAAUAUAAAUUUACCAUAUUUCUGUAUUAUAAUUUGGUAUGAAUUAGUGCCAAUGUAAGCGGGCAACAUAAUUUUUCGUAGCUACGUUUAGAAAAGAAAAUUGUGGAAUCUAUUAGAAAUUUACAAUUGGUUUAGAAAGGAAAUAAUGGACGUUUAGACGAGAACAACAAACAUUGAUACCGGCAUGAAUUUCGCUUAUAAUUUUAAAUUCUAUAUUUACUGGUAGAAUUUUAAUAAUUUCCUACUAAGUUAGUGCCAUUUUUAAAAUGUCAUAUCUUUAGCAAAUUAGUGAUGAAUGGAAUACAAAUUUGACUUAGUUCGCAAUUGCCUUAACGAAAAUAGAUGUUCAUAGCUCGUAAUUGUCAUUUGAUGACAUUAUAAUUUUAGGAUCGGUACAAACGAAAUGGUACGAUUUUCCUUUUGGGCAGAUAAGAUAAAUGAUGUGUGAAUAAUUUAUUUGAUAAAUAAUACUCAAGUAUACAUGAUGUCGUUGUCUUCUAAUAUUCUGAAGUAAUUUAUUACAAAAUUAAAUGUUUAUGUAGCCUUCCAAUUCAAUAAAAUGCGUAUACGCAAUUAUGGUAUGGUAUUACACUUUUUUAUCAAUAACUUUAGUAGAAACGUAAGUUGACUAAUAAAAUUAAGGGCAAAUUACUAUAAUAGUUUAUAAAUUUUUCUUUAUGUUAUAAUUAGAUUAGACAAUUUUGUUUUUAUAAAAUUAUUUCACUUCAUGAUUCACUUAUACAAUUAGAGAAACUUCUAAUCAAGGCAACGGAUUUUUCUUUUGUUUUGACUACAUAUUAUUCUUUAUAGGAUUUAAUAGUUACGAUAAAUUAAAGAUUGAAAUUAAUAAACAAAAUAAAAAUAAUUAAUUUACUUUAUUUAAACUACUAUAUUCAUGAUAUUUACAGAUAUUAGGAAACAAAAAGAGAUAUAAUAUAAGUUUUUUUAAAUUAUUAAUUUUCUUUCUCUAUUCGUAGCUGUAAACAAAAACAUUAUAUUUUCAGUAUAAAUCCAAAAACAAUUUUUAUUGUUUCUCAAAGAAAAAUAUAUCUAAAAUAAUUUUACAAGCUCGCGCACCAAAUUAUGAUGAAAAUUUGAAGUAAAUAACAACAUAGUUUAUAAUUUAUUAAUUAAAUUGAUUACUUAUCUUAAAACUAAUGAAGGGUAAUUUUUAUUAGUUUCCAGAUAAAUUAUACCGUUGAACAGCUACAAUUAUUAAUUUAUUUUACACCCGUUACUUUCCUAAAUGCUGUAUAGACGUGCCAACCGACCCCACACAUUUACUUUACUCGUAAUGAAAGCAUUGACUCGCAAUGACCGAGCUUUUUUUUUUUUUUUUAAUAGAAUAUAGAAUACAUAUUUUAGUACAUAAAACUCCAGUAAAGAGUCCUUCUAAAGACAUUCAGAGAGCCCGCUGCAGACGGUUCAUAAUAAAAAAUCAAGUUGGCCCAGAAAGUCCGCACAACGAUAAUUCUAUACGCAGCUCCCCCCUACAUUUCCACAUUUGACUUAUGAACCGUGAGAACAAUUUGAAGAAAAAGUAUUUUCCUUUUUUUUGGCGCAUUUAUUGGAAUUUUAAAUUUUCCAGUCCAUAUUUUAUAUUGAUUAUUGUAAAGAAAAAUAAGUGUUUUGAAUCCCCCCACCAAUAAGAAUAAAAAUAUUUCAUCAUUAAACAUGUGAAACAAGAAGACCAACCCACAUUCUUCUUUAGUUGGAUCGAGUGGCAAUUACCACUUAUAUAAUCAUCACAUCACUUCUACUCAUUUCCGGAUCACUAAAUUAUGAUUAAAUUUUUUAUUUCAAUAACUAAUUAAUAACUAGAUAAUAAUUUAGUGUUAAUUUCUAAAAUACAAAAAACCUCAUAAAUUCGUCAUCAAAUUACGAGAGCACCCACCACAUGGACGAAAACUAAAACACCCGUCCUGUCCUUAUCUUCUCCAAUAACAAAAUUUGCAGACUCCGACCCCUUUAAGAAACCCACUUUCUACCCUUCAACAAAUAUACAGUAAUGGCUUUUUCCUCCUCUUCUUCCUCUCACUGCUUUCUCUUACUCCCUCUUCUUCUCUUCUCCGUUUUAAUCGCUCACUCAGCCGCUCAAGGCGGCAGAUUCACUUGCAAUUCCUCCUCAAAGUGUCAAUCCCUCGUUGGCUAUCUCACCCCCAACGCCACCACCUUGUCCGAACUCCAAUCUCUCUUCACCGUCAAAAAGCUCCGCUCCAUUCUCGGCGCUAACAACCUACCUCUCUCAACCCCACGCUCCUUCUCCAUUCCCGCAAACCAGACUAUCAAAAUCCCUAUCCCUUGCGUUUGCUCAAACGGCACCGGCAUCUCCGACAGAGUCCCUAUCUACAAAGUCAAGAAAGACGACGGCCUCUUUCAUAUCGCCGCCGACGUUUUCGGCGGUCUGGUUCAGUUCCAGCAUAUUGUGGAGAUCAACAAUAUUCCUAACCCGGACUUGAUUGAGGUUAACCAGUCGCUGUGGAUCCCGCUGCCUUGCAGCUGCGAUGAGGUGAACGGAGAACGAGUCGUACACUACGCUCACGUGGUGUUAGAAGGGAGCUCCGUCGAGGAAAUUUCCAGCGAGUUUGGGGUGGAUAAGGAGACUUUGUUGAAGCUCAAUGGGAUUUCCGGUGACAAUCAACUUAUCGCUGCUAAAGCUUUUGAUGUUCCUCUCAGAG
Molecule: long non-coding RNA, 11795 nt
Filed under: Carica papaya (papaya)
Lineage: Eukaryota; Viridiplantae; Streptophyta; Magnoliopsida; Brassicales; Caricaceae
Description: long non-coding RNA (CPAP_LNC011214)
Source: RNAcentral